RNAcentral lists this ribosomal RNA (554 nucleotides) under uncultured bacterium. Its description in RNAcentral is "bacterial SSU rRNA". It matches the Rfam family "Bacterial small subunit ribosomal RNA", at positions 56 to 656 of the family's 1533-position model. The record is from RNAcentral.
UGCAAGUCGAGCGAACCUUCGGGUUAGCGGCGGACGGGUUAGUAACCCCCUGGAAAAUGUACCCUUCUCUACGGAAUAGCCUCGGGAAACUGAGAGUAAUACCGUAUACGCCCUUUUGGGGAAAGAUUUAUCGGAGAAGGACCAGCCCGCGUUAGAUUAGAUAGUUGGUGGGGUAAUGGCCUACCAAGUCGACGAUCUAUAGCUGGUUUUAGAGGAUGAUCAGCAACACUGGGACUGAGACACGGCCCAGACUCCUACGGGAGGCAGCAGUGGGGAAUCUUAGACAAUGGGCGCAAGCCUGAUCUAGCCAUGCCGCGUGAGUGAUGAAGGCCUUAGGGUCGUAAAGCUCUUUCGCCAGGGAUGAUAAUGACAGUACCUGGUAAAGAAACCCCGGCUAACUCCGUGCCAGCAGCCGCGGUAAUACGGAGGGGGUUAGCGUUGUUCGGAAUUACUGGGCGUAAAGCGCACGUAGGCGGACUAUUAAGUCAGGGGUGAAAUCCCGGGGCUCAACCCCGGAACUGCCUUUGAUACUGGUAGUCUUGAGUUCGAGAGAG